GCCUCUGUAGCUCAGUUGGUUAGAGUGCUGCAACGGAAAUGCAGGGUCACACGUUCAAUUCCUGCCAGGGUCC
Paramuricea clavata is the source of this 73-nucleotide non-coding RNA. The record is from the annotation of a GenBank genome assembly. Lineage: Eukaryota; Metazoa; Cnidaria; Anthozoa; Malacalcyonacea; Plexauridae.